This 502-nucleotide ribosomal RNA is filed under the name uncultured bacterium. Its description in RNAcentral is "bacterial SSU rRNA". It matches the Rfam family "Bacterial small subunit ribosomal RNA", at positions 30 to 523 of the family's 1533-position model. The record is from RNAcentral.
AUUGAACGCUGGCGGCAUGCCUUACACAUGCAAGUCGAACGGCAGCACGGGUGCUUGCACCUGGUGGCGAGUGGCGAACGGGUGAGUAAUACAUCGGAACAUGUCCUGUAGUGGGGGAUAGCCCGGCGAAAGCCGGAUUAAUACCGCAUACGAUCUACGGAUGAAAGCGGGGGACCUUCGGGCCUCGCGCUAUAGGGUUGGCCGAUGGCUGAUUAGCUAGUUGGUGGGGUAAAGGCCUACCAAGGCGACGAUCAGUAGCUGGUCUGAGAGGACGACCAGCCACACUGGGACUGAGACACGGCCCAGACUCCUACGGGAGGCAGCAGUGGGGAAUUUUGGACAAUGGGCGAAAGCCUGAUCCAGCAAUGCCGCGUGUGUGAAGAAGGCCUUCGGGUUGUAAAGCACUUUUGUCCGGAAAGAAAUCCUUGGCUCUAAUACAGUCGGGGGAUGACGGUACCGGAAGAAUAAGCACCGGCUAACUACGUGCCAGCCGCCGCGGUAA